Oncorhynchus keta (chum salmon) is the source of this 572-nucleotide long non-coding RNA. RefSeq lists it as uncharacterized. The transcript is spliced from 6 exons. The record is from RefSeq and is a predicted model, not a curated record. NCBI's taxonomy places the organism in Eukaryota, Metazoa, Chordata, Actinopteri, Salmoniformes, Salmonidae.
UGGUUAGAGGAGGCAGGUAGCCUAGUGGUUAGAGGAGGCAGGUAGCCUUGUGGUUAGAGGAGGCAGGUAGCCUAGUGGUUAGAGGAGGCAGGUAGCCUUGUGGUUAGAGGAGGCAGGUAGCCUAGUGGUUAGAGGAGGCAGGUAGCCUAGUGGUUAGAGGAGGCAGGUAGCCUAGUGGUUAGAGGAGACAGGUAGCCUAGUGGUUAGAGGAGGCAGGUAGCCUAGUGGUUAGAGGAGGCAGGUAGCCUAGUGGUUAGAGGAGGCAGGUAGUCUAGUGGUUAGAGGAGGCAGGUAGCCUAGUGGUUAGAGGAGGCAGGUAGCCUAGUGGUUAGAGGAGACAGGUAGCCUAGUGGUUAGAGGAGACAGGUAGCCUAGUGGUUAGAGGAGACAGGUAGCCUAGUGGUUAGAGGAGACAGGUAGCCUAGUGGUUAGAGGAGGCAGGUAGCCUAGUGGUUAGAGGAGGCAGGUAGCCUAGUGGUUAGAGGAGGCAGGUAGCCUAGUGGUUAGAGGAGGCAGGUAGCCUAGUGGUUAGAGGAGGCAGGUAGCCUAGUGGUUAGAGGAGGCAGGUAGCC